This 460-nucleotide ribosomal RNA is filed under the name uncultured bacterium. RNAcentral's name for it is "partial 16S ribosomal RNA". It matches the Rfam family "Bacterial small subunit ribosomal RNA", at positions 338 to 795 of the family's 1533-position model. The record is from RNAcentral.
CCUACGGGUGACAGCAGUGAGGAAUAUUGUUCAAUGGGCGGAAGCCUGAACCAGCCAAGUAGCGUGAAGGAAGACGGCCCUACGGGUUGUAAACUGCUUUUAUACGGGAAUAAAGCGCCUUACGUGUGGGGCUUUGCAUGUACCGUACGAAUAAGGACCGGCUAAUUCCGUGCCAGCAGCCGCGGUAAUACAGGGGAUGCGAGCGGUAUCCGGAUUUAUUGGGUUUAAAGGGUGCGUAGGCGGCGCUUCAGGUCAGCGGUGAAAUACCGGGGCGCAACCCCGGGGCUGCCGUUGAAACCGGAGCGCUAGAGUUCAGAUGCCGUCGGAGGAAUGUGUGGUGUAGCGGUGAAAUGCAUAGAUAUCACACAGAACACCGAUUGCGAAGGCAUCUGACGAAUCGGAGAUUGACGCUGAUGCACGAAAGCGUGGGUAUCGAACAGGAUUAGAUACCCUUGUAGUC